CAUAACUAUCGCACCAAUGGGGGCCACCACCAGCGGCGUUCUCUCUCUAUCUUCCUUUGUCCACUUCACCACCAUCGCUGACUGUUAACCACCGUAUGCUGCUGCAAUCCGACGUCCCAGUGCCCUUGCCCCUAUACGAUUUGCCAGCCUGGUCCAAAUUUUGUGAUUGGAUUCUUCUGGUGCUUGUUCUCUGUAGAUAUGGCUGAUGACUGCUGGCUUGCUACAUGCAAGGAUAACAUGAAUUGUGAUAUAACGUCUCCAUACUGUGGUGAAAACCGUAUUAUGGGGGAUUAUGCAUUUUUUAACACAAGUUGCAAACCUCUUCAACCAUCUUAAAUAACUCUGGUAGUAAGCAUUUUAUUAUUUUUCAAUCAGUUAGCUCGCUUGGUCAAAACCUCAAGACAAGUACCUACUUAUGGGAUUUUUGAACAGGUAUUAUUCUAGUUUCUUCUUCUAGGCAACAUGUAAGUGGGAAAUGUUUGUAUAUCUUGCAUACUCAUUAUGUUAUUGAACUAUUUAUGCACAUAUUUUAUUUUGAUUGUUUUGGUUGGUGCAACAUAGAUAUCUUCACUCAAUGACAUUAAGAGUAGAAAUGAGGGUAAAAAGGAGGGAUGCAGAGGUAUGGAUGUCCCACAAGAUGCUUCCUGAAGAUCUGAAGGAAGGUGUGACACUCUAUGAACAAAAGAAAACAGGAAGUCAAUGAAGAAUCUCUUGUUCACAAGCUGCCCGAGGACUUAUGGAAGGACAUAAAGUUCAAUGGACAAUACAACCGGCAACCAAACUGCCAAAUUGUUCAUGUAAAAUAACAUCAGGCAUAUAUAAUAAUAUCUCAUACUGCUCCAAGUAUAGAAAAAAACCCACAAAUCAGUAGCAUCACAAGGCUGUUUGGAAGGUUUUAUUAUCAAACCCAGCAACCUAUUCCUUAUAUUGCCUUUUCCAUUGUAAUUGACCCGUUUAUUUUUAUUUUGAUUACAUUGUAAUAUUGAGUUUGGACAUAUGUUAAUAUAUAAGGGUAUCUUU
Molecule: long non-coding RNA, 1020 nt
Filed under: Helianthus annuus (common sunflower)
Lineage: Eukaryota; Viridiplantae; Streptophyta; Magnoliopsida; Asterales; Asteraceae
Description: hypothetical non coding rna
Source: RNAcentral